Molecule: ribosomal RNA, 254 nt
Filed under: uncultured bacterium
Lineage: Bacteria
Description: partial 16S ribosomal RNA
Rfam family: Bacterial small subunit ribosomal RNA
Source: RNAcentral
UACAGAGGUGCCAAGCGUUAGGCGGAAUCACUGGGCUUAAAGCGCGUGUAGGUGGGUCGUUAAGUGUCCGCGUGAAAUCCCACGGCUCAACCGUGGAACUGCCGGGCAUACUGGCGAUCUUGAGGCAUUCAGGGGCGAGCGGAACAAAUGGUGGAGCGGUGAAAUGCGUAGAUAUCGGAAGGAACACCAAUGGCGAAAGCAGCUUCCUGGUCCAGCACCGACGUUCAGGCACGAAAGCGUGGGGAGCAAACAGG